UACGGGGGGUGCAAGCGUUACUCGGAAUCACUGGGCGUAAAGAGCAUGUAGGCGGAUUAAUAAGUUUGAAGUGAAAUCCUAUAGCUUAACUAUAGAACUGCUUUGAAAACUGUUAGUCUAGAAUGUGGGAGAGGUAGAUGGAAUUUCUGGUGUAGGGGUAAAAUCCGUAGAGAUCAGAAGGAAUACCGAUUGCGAAGGCGAUCUACUGGAACAUUAUUGACGCUGAGAGACGAAAGCUAGGGUAGCAAAUCAG
Molecule: ribosomal RNA, 253 nt
Filed under: uncultured bacterium
Lineage: Bacteria
Description: partial 16S ribosomal RNA
Rfam family: Bacterial small subunit ribosomal RNA
Source: RNAcentral